GGGCCCGCACAAGCGGUGGAGCAUGUGGUUUAAUUCGAUGAUACGCGAGGAACCUUACCAGGGCUUAAAUGUAGUGGGACAGGUCUAGAGAUAGACCCUUCUUCGGACUCAUUACAAGGUGCUGCAUGGUUGUCGUCAGCUCGUGCCGUGAGGUGUCAGGUUAAGUCCUAUAACGAGCGCAACCCCUAUCGUUAGUUGCCAGCGAGUAAUGUCGGGAACUCUAACGAAACUGCCAGUGCAAACUGUGAGGAAGGUGGGGAUGACGUCAAAUCAUCACGGCCCUUACGUCCUGGCUACACACGUGCUACAAUGGCCGGUACAGAGAGCAGCCACUUCGCAAGAAGGAGCG
RNAcentral lists this ribosomal RNA (349 nucleotides) under uncultured bacterium. Its description in RNAcentral is "bacterial SSU rRNA". It matches the Rfam family "Bacterial small subunit ribosomal RNA", at positions 917 to 1269 of the family's 1533-position model. The record is from RNAcentral.